GUCCAGCUUUUGAAUGCCAUUUGAUCGGUUUAUCCAUAGAUAGAGAUAUUCUCCAGAAUUGAAAACCCUAUGUCAGUGACUGGCGUUACAUCUUCAUAUGCGAGUCAUUGAAUACGUUCGUCAAAAUCCAAGUUAUUGAAUACGUUCGUCAAAAUCCAAGUUAAAUCCCAAGGUGGUUAAUUGUACACAGGUCAAGGCACGCCUCAAGGACAGGUUAAGUGGAAAAACAACAGGAGGAUCAAGUGAGAAAUCAGAACCAAGUGCAUCAGUUGAACUGAAUUUGUGUAUAUUUGAUGAAUUGGUUGUUAAAAGAAAAGAAGAUCUCUGGAUGGUGGAAUUCUUUGCACCUUGGUAAAUUUAUUGUUUGAGCUAGCACUGUGUUUGCUAAAUGCUAUUAUUUGGUGAUUGUAAUACAUCAAAAUGGCUGCUACACUUUAUAAAGGUUCGCACAUAUGUUGCCUUAUCCUCGUGUGUGGGCAUGAUAAUUCAUUUAGAUGCAAUUGACGUGGAGCUCGAAUAAGGGCAUCCACCCGACAGUAGAAAACGAGCAAGCACUGGAGAUGCUGAGGAUGGCACACAAACAAAAACAGUUAGACGUAAGACACAUAUAAUGUCUGUGAGUGAAAGACUUCUUAAAGAGUUUUGCUAUCUCAUUUGCCACAAAGUGAUGACUCAGUCGCUUACUACUCCAUGUGCUCACAAUUUCUGCAAGUCAUGCUUGCAGGAUGCUUUUGCUGGUCAAACAUUUAUAAAGGAAAGAAAUUGCAAAGGUAGACGAACAUUAAGGGCACAAAAGAACGUCAUGAGAUGUCCGCCAUGCUCUAAUGACAUUUCUGAGUACCUUCAGAAUCCACAGGUUGGAGUUACUUGGCAAUUGGUUGCUCUUUUUCACAGUUCUUAUUUGUGCCUAGGGUUCUGUUGAUUGUCAAAGGAUGCAAGGACUGCUGGGCAUUGGUUCAUCCUAUAGAAAUGUGAUGGUUCUGUUUGAUCUUCUUACCUUGGUUAACCAGCUUAAUAUCUUAUUAUCUGCUUGUAGAGUUAAGUCAUCUAUUUUGUUUCUUGGUAAAUACCUGCAGUUCUUCUCUAUGGGCAUGUUCAAUCUUUGUCCUGCGUGGAUGAUCAUUUGAGGUUACUUUGGGGUUAAAGGCGAACUUGACCAAAAGUAAAGUAUACGGGGUAGGGGUAGAAUUUGCAAACAUCAUCGGGUGUCAAAAGGGGGAGUUCCCGUUCGUAUAUCUUGGGUUACCGGUUGGAGCCAACAUGAAUCGUGUCGUGUGGCGAAUUGGAAAGGUGUGGUGGACAGAUUUAAUGCAAAACUAUCUUUAUGGAAAGCCCGUUGGCUGUCUUUCUCCGGCAGAAUCAUGCUUAUUAAGGCGGUGAUGGCUUCAAUGGCUAAUUAUUAUCUAUCCAUGUUUAAGGCCCCUAGCGGUGUGAUCAAAUCUCUAGAAGGCAUUCGGAGGAGAUUCCUUUGGGGUGGGUCAAGUCUUGGCAAAAAGAUCCGAUGGGUGGCGUGGGAUAAGAUUUUAAGGUCUAAGAAAGAAGGGGGGUUGGGGGUUGGCAGCAUUAAAGAGAUGAAUCUGGGCCUCCUCUCCAAGUGGUGGUGGAGAUAGAGGACGUGUGAUGAUCAGCUGUGGCGAAGAGUUAUCCGGGCCAUUCACGACAACGGGAGGAGCAACGAUUUAAUUCCGGUUAAGGCGGCUAUAUCCGGCGUGUGGAAGGGUAUAGUUAUGGUAAAUAAAGAAUUCAAAAAUUGCAGUGUGGACUUAAAUGACCAUUUCGUGGCCGAGGUGGACGACGGGAAAACAGUUAGGUUCUGGGUGAAUCGUUGGGUUAAUGGAGGCCGGCUCAGCAUGAGAUUCCCAGAUUUAUACCGGUUAUCGCAGUCUAAACAGGCCACAGUAGAAGAAUGUUACAGUGUUAGAGAUGGAGUGGCUCGAUGGGAGUUAAAAUGGAAAAGGGGGCUUAGCUCGGAUCAAGAACGGGCUCGGGAACAAAGGUUGCAGUCGGUUUUGAUACACCUUAGCAGGAGAGACAAAAAAGAUACCUGGUCGUGGCUAUCGGAUAAGAAAAAAACUGAUUUUCCUGUUAAAAUAGUUAGACAGGAGCUGGAAAAGAGUUCAGCGAAUACUUGUCAGAACAAUAUUUUUAACUGGAAUAGAAUUGCAGUGCCAAAAAUCAAUCAUUUCGUCUGGAGAGCAACGGAAAGUCGGAUUCCUACGGCUACGGCGUUGGCUAGGAGAAACGUGAACGUGGGAAACGAGCGGUGUCCAUUAUGUGGCAUAGCUGAGGAGGACGCACAUCAUCUUUUAGUUGCGUGCUCUUUUGCUCGGUCCGUUUGGUGGAGCGUUUUGGUUUGGGUUAAGCUUCCAAUCCCUAGGGCCUUUGAAUCGGUUAAUCAGGUUCUACAGCAUGUGCAGAACUAUGGCAGCGAUGGCUUAAGAAAAAGAGUAGUGCAGUCUAUUGCUCUUCUCACGCUGUGGAUAAUUUGGACAUGCCGUAACGAAAAAAUAUUUAAGCCAUUCUGAGAAACGUCGUGGAAGAUAUAAAAGACAAUAGCUUCUGGUGGGUGAAGAAAAGAUCAAACAUAUAUGGCUGGGCUGAAUGAAGAGAACUGGAGCUAAUUCGAGUUGGAUAAUGAGGCACAUGUGAGUCUUAAUUUGAAAUUGUCGCCAUUAAAGACUGCCAUAUGCAGUACUUUGUAGCCCUAUAAACUAGUAGCAGUCGAAUCUUGUGGCCUCAUGUUUCAUUAAUCGGAGGGACUUACGCUAAGCCUUCAGCGGAGCCAAUGGCUAUGCUCAUUCGUCGUGGCCAAUCUAGGAGGCAAUCGGCUGCAAGUUUACCAUGGAGGUGAGUGAGCAAGCUGUGGUUAGGCAUAUAAUCAUAGACUAUAAGUCUUUCAUCUCCACCAGCAUGAAAUCCUUUGUCCCAACAAAUUCUUGUGUUGAACUCUCCCAAGAAUCUCCACCUCAACCGCGAAUUCCAAAUCCGCCUUCACCUAUCUUGUUUUCGUUAUGAAAAUUGUUGGUUGCGUGCACUAGUUCUUUGAGAGUAUACAUAUUCCAUGGGUAAUCCCUAUUCUUUUGGGGACCGCACAAGAGAUUAAAAUCAAAUAACUGGAUCCAUACAGUUUCAUAACGCAAGAUCACCUCAAAAAAUGUAAAAUUGAAAGAUCUAAAGAAAGCAUACAUGAUCUUUGGCUCUUGAUCAUCCUGAGAAGUGCAACAAAACAGUUCUUUAACUUCUUCAUCGAUGUCAUCGUUAAAGAAAUGAAGAUUAUAGUUGAGAGUGUUAAUAUGUAUUCCACAAUGAAUUAUGGGGAGAAAAACAGGUGGAAACAGCAAGAAGAUGUUGGUUUUCCGGUGAUUACAAAGCUGAUAAGAGAUAACAUUGCAGAUUCAUUCUGCGAUCUAUUAUAAAAUUGCUCUUUCAUUCAGCGAUCUUCUUUAACAUGGCUUGUCCAUUCAGCGACUUUAUUAAGGUAUUGGUUCAAAACAGCGAUCUUCUUUAACAUAGCUGUUUAAUACAGCGAUCUUCUUUUAGGGUGCAGCUUUUGCAGCUUUUGGUCAGAAAGUUCAUGUAAGGUCGCUGUUUGAAUUGGCUACUUACCUAGAUUUGAAAACAAAAUUGUUGACCACCUAGAACCACUCUUUUGCAGCUCAAAUCACCUAUUUAUGCAAAAAACUCGACAAUGGCUUUAUUACUUAUUUGAGGAAUUUAUCAAUUGGUUGACUAGAAAUGGAAUGUAUGUAUUAAGCAUGUGACAAUGCUUAUAUUUGAGGAAUUUAUCAAUUGUAUUUAGUAUUUAAAAAAAUGUCAGGAAAAAGACUUAAAACGUGUAACAAUGCUUACAAUGAAAAAGAUUUGCAUGGGUCAAAGCCUGAGUUUAAACAUAUGUUGAUGCCCAAUUGUUAACAUGUCCUAUUAUUACACGUGUUAAUACUAAAUGGCUAAUUACUACUUCAGUACUUCUUUUACGUGACUCAUAACCAAACAAAACGAUAUGCUGAAAAAACUAACAGAAAACGCAAACAAGGCUGCAAACGUUGACCCCGCUGCAACGCGCGGGUUCCUCACUAGUUGUAAAAAAUAAGCAUUUUUUUACAACUAAGGCCAACCUGGUUUACCAUGUAUGUUAUUACCAGGAUCCAAAUGCAAAUAUUUUAGUUGCAAGCUAAACCUUUUGUUCUGAAAGUACAAGGUCCAUGUUAUGCCUAGUAAGUAUACAUAAAUUAUUGUUUUUCUUUUGCAGCCUGGAAACUGUUGUUGACACUUUUGGUAAGAUCUGACAUUGUCUAUGUGUGUGAUUUUGUUUUUGUUUUGGAGCCUAUGGUGGCAACUGUAUUUCGUGAAGAAAUUGUUAGUGAAAGGUAUAUUUACUUUUUAUGAUCCAAGAUAAAAUAUAGAGAUUGAAACAUACUGUUGGAAAGGUGAUAUGUUUGAUGGUAGAGAUUUGAUAGAUGCAGAGGUGUUUUUAAGUAUAUUUAUGUUCUUGACACAAAAAACAUGUCCUUUUAUUCACACUUUGACCUCUAAAAUGGUUAAACAUUAUGAGUGAACCUUAAUAUAUAUGCUUUAGAAUAAGAUUGUAAGUAUGACACAUUGUCUUCAAAAAUUUGAAUUAAAUAAAUUAACGUUGCAAGAUUGGCUUGAAUUAGGAGAGGAAGUAAAUUAUUUAAGUUUGUAUUUUAUUUGUGUUUUUGAUGUUUUGAUGAAUCUGAUGAUGAAAUUAUUUAGUAUUUUUAUUUUUUAUAGAAUAUAAUUUUUUUGUUUAUUUUUUAAUUUCGUGACAAGGCGUACGCCUCGUGAGGCUAAGGCAAAGCGCCUCGAGGCACGAUUUCGUACUUUUAAAUCUUGGUUUCUACUCCAUUUUGUUUUAGCUUCUACAAUUUUUACAAAUCAAGCUACUUGAGUUAUCCCAACUUUCAUGGAGAGUUUUUUUCCAUAAAAAACGAAAAAGCAAUCCUAACCAUUAUUGAUCCGAACAUGAUUUGUUCUGCACCAGUCUGCUCAAGCUCAACCUAAGCUGGAAGAAACAAGUUCUGAAGGUAAUAGAAGUGGCUUCCAAUUCGCCAAGUUCUGAAGGCAGAAAAAUUACAGAAAAGAGCUAGGGGCAUUUAAAACAGAGUAACGGUAUGCCUCUUAGACCAGAAUUCAGCCCGGCACAUGGAAGUCGAUCCUUGUGAGGACUUGACUGAUAGUGAUAUCGGACUGGUAAUGGGUCAAAAAGGACGGGUUGAAUUCACCUACAAGGUGCUGCUGGAUUUGCUCACUUAGAAGCUGGGAAGUACAAGCAUGUUGCCCGCAAGGUAAUGGAACUUAGCUUCCCAUUCCAUAAAACUAGCUGCGAAACUUUCAAAUGGAAUAGCUGCUACCUGCUACUGUUAAUGUGGAACAUAGUUAGGUCUCGUUUUCCUUUCUGUUUAUAAUUUUUGAAUGCCGAGUGUCUUUUACAAACCAAGGUUGAAAUACAAACUACCAAACAAAAAAAAUAUAUAUGUUUUUUAACUUCUUUUUCAAAGUUCACCAUUUGUUUUGACCUGAAAGAGCCCAUGAAGAUUGCUACUUUAAUUGCUGUCUACGUGAAUUGGGAUUUUACAAGAGUCCAUGGAAUCGGCUGGGGUUGGGCCGGUGUGAUUUGGCUUUAUAGCAUAAUCAUCUAUUUCCCGUUAGACAUUUUCAAAUUCAUCAUCUGUUACAGUUAAGUGGCAAGGUUUGGGACAGUAUGAUCGAAAAGAGGGUAAGCCCGUUUGUUAAAUGUUCAUCAUAUUCAUUUACACUAAUCAACAUUAAUACAUUAUAUUAAUUAGGACCCUGCUCUACUCGUGUUCUGAACAAGCCACCAAAGGUGCCAGUCAAGGUGAUGUGCUUUCAGGAACAACAACGGUGCUGGUUUUUUACGAUGGUGGAAUAGCUGUCGUUCUUCUGGUUUUUUAAUACACUUGGAAUAUUUUCCCGUUGGUGAGCCUAAAGCACAUUGAUUCUUUGAGCUAUAUGUCUGCUUUAUCAGUAGCUCUUGCGCUCGUGUUACUUGUGAUCGCUACUGGAAUUACAAUCUUCAAGUUUAUAGCAGCAGGAAGUAUUAUAAUGCCUAAGUGGAGGUGGUGCCACGCCGCCACCACAUAAAAUGGAAGUCUGAAUCUCCCUUUGCCACAAACGUCUUCGGUCACAAGAUAACAAAGAACAAACUAACCUAUUUGGCUUUUUUACAAACUACCUAAUGUUUUUCUCCUUCUCACUUUGAGUUGUACAAUUGUAUAAAUGUGUUUUUUAUUCCUGUUUUCUGUCGAAUUGAGUGGUACAGUUGUAUAUGUGUUUAUUUGGAGACAUUAAUGUAUGUUCUUUAAUUGAUAAUUAAUAUUAUUAUACUUGUUGACAA
Molecule: RNA transcript, 6376 nt
Organism: Helianthus annuus (common sunflower)
Lineage: Eukaryota; Viridiplantae; Streptophyta; Magnoliopsida; Asterales; Asteraceae
Gene name: E3 ubiquitin-protein ligase ORTHRUS 2-like
Exons: 10
Source: RefSeq, a predicted model, not a curated record